UACGUAGGGUGCAAGCGUUGUCCGGAAUUAUUGGGCGUAAAGGGCUCGUAGGCGGUCCGUCACGUCGGGAGUGAAAACUUGGGGCUUAACCCCAAGCCUGCUUCCGAUACGGGCGGACUAGAGGUAGGCAGGGGAGAACGGAAUUCCUGGUGUAGCGGUGAAAUGCGUAGAUAUCAAGAGGAACACCUGAGGUGAAGACGGGUUGCUGGGCUGACACUGACGCUGAGGCGCGAAAGCUAGGGUAGCAAACGGG
Molecule: ribosomal RNA, 253 nt
Filed under: uncultured bacterium
Lineage: Bacteria
Description: partial 16S ribosomal RNA
Rfam family: Bacterial small subunit ribosomal RNA
Source: RNAcentral